GUGUCCUUGAUCCAUCACAGCUGAUUUAAAUGGAUAAAUUACCUUCUCAACAUGCCUUGAAGUUCUCCAGAGGCCUGGUAAUGAACUAAUCAUGUGAUUCAGGUGUGUUGACCCAGGGUGAGAUCUAAAACCUGCAGGGACACCGGCCCUCGCGGACUGGGAUUGGGGACCCCUGCCUUAGAGGAAAGGAGUGUUUCGAACAGGAUGAACAAAUAUAAGCUAAAAUAAAGGAUGUUAUUUUUUUAACCGUGAAUCAUGCCAACUACUCAGUACAGUCCAACAAUAAAAAUAUGGGGCUGGAAAUAAGCAUCACAGGUCCACUUUAAGGUAACUGUCUCCAGGAUGUAGCUUUAUAUUAGGCAUACAGACAUGAGAGUGGUAUGAAUCUCAUGUAUACCAUUGCAAGAAAGCGAGCAUCAUACUGCUCCAACUAUUCAUUUAAACAACAAAGUCACAGAAGGCAUAAAAGGUAAAGUUGAGAGCAGUUAAUCAAAGACAAAGCAGGGACAAAAUAAAAAGGAAAGAUUGUAAAUCAAAAUAUACUCAACAAGCUUGAGUUUCAUGAGGCUAAUUGAUCGCAUGUCAAACUAGAGACGGUUCAGUAUGAGCAGUCUGGAAUUGAGUCUCAUGGCUUGUUGUAUGAAAGUAGCAUAAAGCCAGAGAACCUAAGUGCAAACUUUACAAACAAACCAAAAGAAUCUGAGCUCUGCGAAACAAGAGGAAGCUGGUCCUACUUGAAUCUGCUCUUCAGUUAAUCAAAAUAAUACGCUAAGAGAUGUUUGUCCCUACUGACCCACUGUUGUUGAUGAAUUCAUCCCACACAGUCAGAAACCUCUCAGUCAAACUUAUGUAAAUGUUGUCAGCUUCAGCUCAGAUAAUGAGAAAUGUAGUUCGACUUUGACUACUUUGUUUUCCCCCUAACAUUCAAAAUGUAAAAAAAUAACACCCACCACAGUGACCCUCGGACAGCUUUGUUUUCCUGUUACUGUCUGUGUGUGUUUUGUGUGUGCGUGUGUUUUCUUUUGCUCUAGUGCCCUUCAGUUGUCUGAUAAGGGUUUACAACAUUGGGAUCCUAUUUUAGAUACAGUAACAGUUUUGGGUUCUUUUGCAUCCAAGUAUCACGCACCUGCACCAGCCCAGCACUUCUGCCUUCUUCUAACUCUGAAUGCUUCACCUAUGUGCUGCUCUCACUUAGCUUUCAAAAUAAAGCAGGCCUUAGAAAUAUAUGAUAUGAAUGACUUAGCGAGACUUCACUGUGGCAUUCUAGAAAUUAAUGGGUCAUGUUUCAGCUCACAGCAUGUGCUUUUGGUUUUCUAGGGUUCAUUUAGUACCAUCAUCUGUUGCUGAUGGAAACCUUUUGGCAGAUGCUUCAUUCAAUUUGCCUCCUGAUUGACGUCAUAUAAUGUCCUUAAAACCAUUAUUAGGAGGAUUAGUCUUAGUUUACACUUAAACGAGCUGUAUUCUGAACAUAAUGCUGUGACUCAGAUUCAUAUGUCGCCUGUGUUUGAACCUAAGGAGAGCGGACAGAUAGAAAGCCAGCUUUUCUGUUGUCUAACAGAUGGAUUUCACUCUAAACAGAUUGUCAUCUGUUGCAUUUCUUUGCUACCUCUUUCAAUAUGCGCUUACACAGACACACACAGGCACACACACACUGAAAAAGCUGCACUCAAAGGUCAACAUGUACCCAUUUGUAACUGACUGUAAAAAGACAGUGAACACAUGACACACACUUAAACACACGCACACUUGUGCCCACUUCUUUUCCCUCACCAGCAGUUUUUUGCCAAUGAUGCACUUGUGUUUUUGUCUCCAAAUGCUCUGCAAAACAUAUGUUUAAAAAAAAUGUUAAAAAAUUAGUCAUCAAGUUUUAUUUUUUUAAAACCUGUAAUCUCCAUAGUAAGACCUGGACUAGCCAGGUGCUUAGAAGUCAGUAGGUUUUUCAUUCAUCCGUUUAGAAAGUUUCAUGUCUUUAAAAAAAAAGAGAGAAAAGAAACAUAAAUGCACAUAUUUCUCAGCUCAGUUGUACCUUGGUGUGCCUAGAACCCACAGCCUUAUUUUGGGACAAUAUCAGGGGUUUUAACCAGAAUACACGAUGUUCUGUAGAGGACAGUUUCAUUGAGUUUUUUCGAGUAGCCCUCCCCAACCCUCCCUUUAUUUCCACAAUCGGUUUUACGAUGUGCAUGUGGAAGGUGCGCAUCCUCCACAGGGUGUGCUAUGUCAGUGUUUCAGCUAGUUGUGAUUCUUUAUUUAUUCCCCUUUCAGACGACACUUUAGAGUUAAAGCAAACAGAAAAACAAGCAAGAAAAAAAACCAUUUUGGAGUCUGAUUAAAAAUUUUGUUUUUAUCUAAAUUGGCUCGAUUAACUCUUUUUAAAGGGUUUCCAGUAGAUAACAAUCUAUUAUGUAGGUCUGCGUAUUUCGUGUAGAAUAAAAAUAAAAGUUUAAGUAAUAAUUGAUCUCACCAGAGUCCCAAAAUAAGUACUUUUACCUUCACACAUGCACACCACCAUGCAGUAAAACUCAGCAGAUCUCAGUGCUUUGAGCAGAAAUUUGUCUUUUUCAGAAUACACAGUUGCCAGGGCGCUGCUGUUGAUGGCACCAUCAAUAGCCUUAUGUAAAGGCAGAUAGUGUUAUACAUACAUGAACUAAUGUCUCUGUGUGGUAUGAAUCACCACCUUUUAUUUUGUUUUUUGCUCUUUUCUAUUUGCUCUUCUCUUUGAAGUUGAUCCAUUGUACUUUGAUUAAAUGCAUUGUAUUUAGUAAAAUACUGAUAAUGUUUUGGGGAAAUCACACAAAUAAAACAGCUGUACAUAGUGACGC
Oreochromis aureus is the source of this 2819-nucleotide long non-coding RNA. The record is from Ensembl. Lineage: Eukaryota; Metazoa; Chordata; Actinopteri; Cichliformes; Cichlidae.